This 622-nucleotide ribosomal RNA is filed under the name uncultured bacterium. RNAcentral describes it as "bacterial SSU rRNA". It matches the Rfam family "Bacterial small subunit ribosomal RNA", at positions 338 to 951 of the family's 1533-position model. The record is from RNAcentral.
CCUACGGGAGGCAGCAGUGGGGAAUAUUGGACAAUGGGCGCAAGCCUGAUCCAGCCAUGCCGCGUGGGUGAAGAAGGCCUUCGGGUUGUAAAGCCCUUUUGUCCGGAAAGAAAAGCUUCGGGUUAAUACCCCGGGGUCAUGACGGUACCGGAAGAAUAAGCACCGGCUAACUUCGUGCCAGCAGCCGCGGUAAUACGAAGGGUGCAAGCGUUACUCGGAAUUACUGGGCGUAAAGCGUGCGUAGGUGGUUCGUUAAGUCUGAUGUGAAAGCCCUGGGCUCAACCUGGGAAUUGCAUUGGAUACUGGCGAGCUAGAGUGCGGUAGAGGAUAGUGGAAUUCCCGGUGUAGCAGUGAAAUGCGUAGAGAUCGGGAGGAACAUCUGUGGCGAAGGCGACUAUCUGGGCCAGCACUGACACUGAGGCACGAAAGCGUGGGGAGCAAACAGGAUUAGAUACCCUGGUAGUCCACGCCCUAAACGAUGCGAACUGGAUGUUGGGUGCAACUAGGCACUCAGUAUCGAAGCUAACGCGUUAAGUUCGCCGCCUGGGGAGUACGGUGCAAGACUUGAAACUUCAAAGGAAUUGACGGCNGAGAGNGCGACGGACGACGACGAGGGAGGAGG